GGACGAACCUGUCUGUGCUGACGUCUCUCUGUGCUGGCUCCUCCCGACUGACCCGGGAGCUUCUCACCAGCCCAGCCACAGAGGAGAAUGGAGCCGCAAAGGCAGCUGGGAAGGGGGCUCCUUUCUUCUCCCCAGGGUCUGCGUGAGUUCUCAGUAGAACCUGGAUGAUCUCCUUGGAGGGAACAUAGUGUCAUUAGAUUCAGAGGCGCAGUGGGACAUAACAAGAGGUCACCUUUCCAAAGUGGCACUUCAGGCUCCCUGCGUUGAAAUCCAAUUACUUCCCACUGGCGACCUGAAUCGCACUCCACACGAAGUGCUGUGAAACUGUGUGGAGGAAACUUGUGCAAUGCCUUUGUGAAGACCUUGAAGAAUUUCGGGGAACUUUAUUUUUGGUGUCUCCAGUACCUGGCAAACUGCCUGAUUCAUAAUCGAAGUUUGAGAAAUACUUCUCAUAUUACAAGGAAGCAGACAAUGAGCCGUGAGAGAGUCGGGAGGAAAACCAGAAUAGCACCGAGUGGCUGAAUUACAAACAGAAGGAUGUCCGCAAAGUCCAAGAUGCAGGUCUCUGCCUGGUGAGGUCCUUCCUGCUGCGUCACCUUGUGGCAUAGUGAAGGCAUCCUGUGGUGAGGGGCACACGGGAAAGGAAUGGGAGCACACUCCAGGGACAGCCUACUUGUGUGACUGAGCGACUCCUGGCACCACUCAGCCCUUGUGACCUCAUCACAUUUAAAUCUCCCACCUCCCAGUACCAUCUCUGUGGCAAACAAAUUUCAACAUGUGGUUUCCAGGGACAUUGAAAACAGACUACCUCUAACUCCAUAGCCAUCAGCUCCUGAGAGUGGAGCCUGAGAGUUCUUGAAGCACUCUCACGUUUCCUGUGAGCCUAUCUCUUCUGGGCCAUGGUGAUUUCUUAGGUGCCAGGGCCACCCCAAUAGCAAAGCUAUUAGAAAUUUGGUGGGGAGCAAACCACGGUGUACAACUGAGAGAGUCUGGGAGUGAAGGA
This 1003-nucleotide long non-coding RNA is filed under the name Fukomys damarensis (Damara mole-rat). Its description in RNAcentral is "lncRNA (ENSFDAG00000028357.1)". The record is from RNAcentral. Lineage: Eukaryota; Metazoa; Chordata; Mammalia; Rodentia; Bathyergidae.